RNAcentral lists this ribosomal RNA (451 nucleotides) under uncultured bacterium. Its description in RNAcentral is "partial 16S ribosomal RNA". It matches the Rfam family "Bacterial small subunit ribosomal RNA", at positions 29 to 523 of the family's 1533-position model. The record is from RNAcentral.
AACGUACGCUGGCGGCAGGCGUAACACAUAUAAGUCGAACGCGUCUAGCAAUCCACCAGUGGCGCACGGGUGAGUAACGCGUGGGCACAUGCCCUUGCGUCCGGAGCAACCUCGGGAAACUGAGGAUAAUACCGUAUGAUGUCUGCGGACCACGGAUUGACCGCUCAAGGAUCGGCCCGCGUUAGAUUAGCAAGUUGGUGAGGUAACGGCACACCAAGGCGACGAGCUAUAGCUGGUCUGAGAGGAUGACCAGCCACACUGGGACGGAGACACGGCCCAGACUCCUACGGGAGGCAGCAGUGAGGAAGAGUGGACAAUGGAGGAAACUCUGAUCCAGCCAGGCCGCGGGAGUGAUGAAGGCCUGCGGGUUGUAAAGCUCUUUUACGCCUGACGAGAAUGACGGUAAGGGGAGAAGAAGCCACGGGUAACGACGGGCCAGCAGCCGCCGCGG